GAGUUUUUUUAGGUUUUGAUUUUUAUUACAUCUUUGUACAAAAAAUCGAAACCUAAAGAAAAUG
RNAcentral lists this microRNA precursor (64 nucleotides) under Patagioenas fasciata monilis. RNAcentral describes it as "mir-737 microRNA precursor family". It matches the Rfam family "mir-737 microRNA precursor family". Lineage: Eukaryota; Metazoa; Chordata; Aves; Columbiformes; Columbidae. The record is from Rfam by way of RNAcentral.